Molecule: ribosomal RNA, 980 nt
Filed under: uncultured organism
Description: bacterial SSU rRNA
Rfam family: Bacterial small subunit ribosomal RNA
Source: RNAcentral
UGACGGUACCCAACGAAGAAGCCCCGGCUAAACUCCGUGCCAGCAGCCGCGGUAAGACGGAGGGGGCAAGCGUUGUCCGGACUCACUGGGCGUAAAGGGUGCGUAGGCGGUACGGUGCGUCGGCACUGAAAGCUCGCGGGUCAACUGGGAGAGGUGUGUCGAUACGACCGAACUCGAGGCAAGAAGAGGUGCGCGGAAUUCCGGGUGUAGUGGUGAAAUGCGUAGAUAUCCGGAGGAAUGCCGGUGGCGAAGGCGGCGCACUGGUCUUGACCUGACGCUGAGGCACGAAGGCGUGGGGAGCGAACCGGAUUAGAUACCCGGGUAGUCCACGCAGUAAACGCUGUUGGCUCGGUGUGUGGUGCUGGAAACAGGACCGCGUGCCCAAGUUCACACGGUAAGCCAACCGCCUGGGGAAUACGAGCGCAAGCUUAAAACUCAAAGGAAUUGACGGAGGCCCGCACCAGCGGUGGAACAUGUGGUUUAAUUCGAUGCAACGCGAAGAACCUUACCUGGGCUUGACAUAUAUAUGGCGUAUGUAAGAAAUUAUGUAUUCUGUCUGUUUUUUCAGAUAGCAUAUAUACAGGUGAUGCAUGGCUGUCGUCAGCUCGUGUCGUGAGAUGUAGGGUUAAGUCCCUUAACGAGCGCAACCCUUGCUUUUAGUUGCCAUCAGGUAAUGCUGGGGACUCUAGAAGGACUGCCGAGGUUAACUCGGAGGAAGGUGGGGAUGACGUCAAGUCAGUAUGUCCCUUAUGUCCAGGGCUACACACGUGUUACAAUGGUCGGUACAGAGUGACGCUAAUCCACGAGGUGGCGCCAAUCACUUAAAGCCGAUCCCAGUUCGGAUUGGAGUCUGCAAUUCGACUCCAUGAAGUUGGAAUCGCUAGUAAUCGCAGAACAGCAUGCUGCGGUGAUACGUUCCCGGGCNUUGUACACACCGCCCGUCACGCCAUGGAAGUUGGGAGUACCCGAGCUUGCUGUCC